GACGAACGCUGGCGGCGUGCUUAACACAUGCAAGUCGAGCGGAAAGGCCCUUCGGGGUACUCGAGCGGCGAACGGGUGAGUAACACGUGAGUAACCUGCCCCAGACUUUGGGAUAACCCUCGGAAACGGGGGCUAAUACCGGAUACGACACAGCUUCGCAUGGGGUCUGUGUGGAAAGUUUUUCGGUUUGGGAUGGGCUCGCGGCCUAUCAGCUUGUUGGUGGGGUGAUGGCCUACCAAGGCGACGACGGGUAGCCGGCCUGAGAGGGCGACCGGCCACACUGGGACUGAGACACGGCCCAGACUCCUACGGGAGGCAGCAGUGGGGAAUAUUGCACAAUGGGCGGAAGCCUGAUGCGGCGACGCCGCGUGAGGGAUGACGGCCUUCGGGUUGUAAACCUCUUUCAGCAGGGACGAAGCGUAAGUGACGGUACCUGCAGAAGAAGCGCCGGCCAACUACGUG
RNAcentral lists this ribosomal RNA (462 nucleotides) under uncultured bacterium. RNAcentral describes it as "partial 16S ribosomal RNA". It matches the Rfam family "Bacterial small subunit ribosomal RNA", at positions 28 to 507 of the family's 1533-position model. The record is from RNAcentral.